RNAcentral lists this ribosomal RNA (452 nucleotides) under uncultured Planctomycetota bacterium. Its description in RNAcentral is "bacterial SSU rRNA". It matches the Rfam family "Bacterial small subunit ribosomal RNA", at positions 384 to 826 of the family's 1533-position model. The record is from RNAcentral. Lineage: Bacteria; Pseudomonadati; Planctomycetota.
UGACGAAGCGACGCCGCGUGGGUGAAGAAGGCCUUCGGGUUGUAAAGCCCUGUCAGGAGUUAUGAAAUGUAAGUGCGCUAAUAUCGUGCUUAUUUGACAAAGGCUCCAAAGGAAGCCACGGCUAACUCUGUGCCAGCAGCCGCGGUAAUACAGAGGUGGCGAGCGUUGUUCGGAAUUAUUGGGCGUAAAGAGCACGUAGGUGGGUUUGCAAGUCAGAUGUGAAAGCCUUCUGUUCAACGGAAGAAUUGCAUCUGAAACUGCUAAUCUUGAGUAUAGGAGGGGAGAAUGGAACUUCUGGUGGAGCGGUGAAAUGCGUAGAUAUCAGAAGGAACGCCGGCGGCGAAAGCGAUUCUCUGGCCUAUUACUGACACUCAGUGUGCGAAAGCUAGGGGAGCAAACGGGAUUAGAUACCCCGGUAGUCCUAGCCGUAAACGAUGGGCACUAAGUAGAGG